This is a long non-coding RNA of Paramisgurnus dabryanus, 483 nucleotides long. RefSeq lists it as uncharacterized. NCBI's taxonomy places the organism in Eukaryota, Metazoa, Chordata, Actinopteri, Cypriniformes, Cobitidae. The record is from RefSeq and is a predicted model, not a curated record.
AACGAAAAAAUAACAGGAUGGAGACUACCUGAUUCUUCACCUAUGGCCUUAGCUUCAAAUGCAAGAAGUCCAGCAACUUUCUGAGCUGGUGGAUAUUCUAUCAGAGACUGCAUGAACAACGUUAUGAACAGAAUGAUGUCUAAUUGUCUUAUGGCAAAGUUCAAUAUGAGGGGUGGUGGACAUCUGGAAAAUAAGUCUUUUAAAGGCACACCUUUGUAUUAUGUUAUUCAAGGUAAUUUGGGGAAUAUGUUGAUCUAAAAAAAACUCUUGUUCUUGUAUAUUGAUGUAAUUUUUAUUACUAUGAUUUAUGUAUUUAGGGGACAUCACAGCUCACCUGUCUUUAUCAGAAAUAUCCUGUUCAUUUUUUGACAGUUACACACCUAGUUUAGGGUCUUUCUCAAGGGCACCACAGUGGGAUUGAAGAGCAAGGGUACAAAUGCUGUUGGUCUCACAACUGAUCUAACACUUAUUUAAAGCAUAACA